Molecule: ribosomal RNA, 514 nt
Filed under: Microbacterium sp. S1
Lineage: Bacteria; Bacillati; Actinomycetota; Actinomycetes; Micrococcales; Microbacteriaceae
Description: bacterial SSU rRNA
Rfam family: Bacterial small subunit ribosomal RNA
Source: RNAcentral
UGGGGAAUAUUGCACAAUGGGCGCAAGCCUGAUGCAGCAACGCCGCGUGAGGGACGACGGCCUUCGGGUUGUAAACCUCUUUUAGCAGGGAAGAAGCGAAAGUGACGGUACCUGCAGAAAAAGCGCCGGCUAACUACGUGCCAGCAGCCGCGGUAAUACGUAGGGCGCAAGCGUUAUCCGGAAUUAUUGGGCGUAAAGAGCUCGUAGGCGGUUUGUCGCGUCUGCUGUGAAAUCCGGAGGCUCAACCUCCGGCCUGCAGUGGGUACGGGCAGACUAGAGUGCGGUAGGGGAGAUUGGAAUUCCUGGUGUAGCGGUGGAAUGCGCAGAUAUCAGGAGGAACACCGAUGGCGAAGGCAGAUCUCUGGGCCGUAACUGACGCUGAGGAGCGAAAGGGUGGGGAGCAAACAGGCUUAGAUACCCUGGUAGUCCACCCCGUAAACGUUGGGAACUAGUUGUGGGGUCCAUUCCACGGAUUCCGUGACGCAGCUAACGCAUUAAGUUCCCCGCCUGGGGA